GACGAACGCUGGCGGCGUGCCUAAUACAUGCAAGUUGAGCGAUGAAGAUUGGUGCUUGCACCAAUUUGAAGAGCAGCGAACGGGUGAGUAACGCGUGGGGAAUCUGCCUUUGAGCGGGGGACAACAUUUGGAAACGAAUGCUAAUACCGCAUAACAACUUUAAACAUAAGUUUUAAGUUUGAAAGAUGCAAUUGCAUCACUCAAAGAUGAUCCCGCGUUGUAUUAGCUAGUUGGUGAGGUAAAGGCUCACCAAGGCGAUGAUACAUAGCCGACCUGAGAGGGUGAUCGGCCUCAGUGGGACUGAGACACGGCCCAAACUCCUACGGGAGGCAGCAGUAGGGAAUCUUCGGCAAUGGACGAAAGUCUGACCGAGCAACGCCGCGUGAGGGAAGAAGGUUUUCGGAUCGUAAAACUCUGUUGGUAGAGAAGAACGUUGGUGAGAGUGGAAAGCUCAUCAAGUGACGGUAACUACCCAGAAAGGGACGGCUAACUACGUG
RNAcentral lists this ribosomal RNA (497 nucleotides) under uncultured bacterium. Its description in RNAcentral is "partial 16S ribosomal RNA". It matches the Rfam family "Bacterial small subunit ribosomal RNA", at positions 28 to 507 of the family's 1533-position model. The record is from RNAcentral.